This 484-nucleotide ribosomal RNA is filed under the name uncultured bacterium. RNAcentral's name for it is "partial 16S ribosomal RNA". It matches the Rfam family "Bacterial small subunit ribosomal RNA", at positions 30 to 507 of the family's 1533-position model. The record is from RNAcentral.
AUUGAACGCUAGCGGGAUGCUUUACACAUGCAAGUCGAACGGCAGCGCGGACUUCGGUCUGGCGGCGAGUGGCGAACGGGUGAGUAAUGUAUCGGAACGUGCCCAGUAGCGGGGGAUAACUACGCGAAAGCGUAGCUAAUACCGCAUACGCCCUACGGGGGAAAGCAGGGGAUCGUAAGACCUUGCACUAUUGGGGCGGCCGAUAUCGGAUUAGCUAGUUGGUGAGGUAACGGCUCACCAAGGCGACGAUCCGUAGCUGGUUUGAGAGGACGACCAGCCACACUGGGACUGAGACACGGCCCAGACUCCUACGGGAGGCAGCAGUGGGGAAUUUUGGACAAAGGGGGCAACCCUGAUCCAGCCAUCCCGCGUGUGCGAUGAAGGCCUUCGGGUUGUAAAGCACUUUUGGCAGGAAAGAAACGUCGCGGGCUAAUACCCCGUGGAACUGACGGUACCUGCAGAAUAAGCACCGGCUAACUACGUG